Non-coding RNA from Lonchura striata (white-rumped munia), 569 nucleotides. The record is from RefSeq and is a predicted model, not a curated record. Lineage: Eukaryota; Metazoa; Chordata; Aves; Passeriformes; Estrildidae.
GGAAACUUAUUUUAUAGGUAGAAAAAGCAAACUGAACAGACUGAGAUGUUUCCUUGCAAGACUGCAGACCACGGCCAUGUGUGCAGGGCACAGGAGUCCAGGCUGACCCAUAAACAAGCUAUUAAGGGCACCACAAGGGAAGAUGUGCGUGGUUUUGUCAUGGACUUUGAUGGAGGUGGGUAUCUGAGGCCUCACUGAUUUUCUUGUAUCUCAUCUAUUACUCAGAAUCAUGGAGUCUUCUGAGUUGAAAGGAGCCCACAAGGAUCAUCAAAUCCAACUCUUAAGUGAAUGACCCAUACAGUGACUGAACCCACAACCUUGAUGUUAUAAGCACCACGUUCUAACCAACUGUGCUAAUCAUCUCAUGGAUGAGGAAAUGUAUAUCGCUUUGCAUUUAAGGAGCAUGCUGUUAGAUUUCAUGUGGAGUAACAAUAACCAGUUGAAAUGGUAGUGCCUUAAACAUGCUUGUUUUUGUGCCAUUGCAAAAUUAAGUUUAAUAUUUGCAAAUUGGUUAUGUAAACUCACAUUCUGUCUAAUGAGUAGUAAAUAUUAUGAUUCUUUCAGAGCAA